This 74-nucleotide transfer RNA is filed under the name Candidatus Amoebophilus asiaticus 5a2. RNAcentral describes it as "tRNA-Ile2 (CAT) (tRNA-Ile2-CAT-1-1)". It matches the Rfam family "tRNA". Rfam says of the family: Transfer RNA (tRNA) molecules are approximately 80 nucleotides in length. Their secondary structure includes four short double-helical elements and three loops (D, anti-codon, and T loops). Further hydrogen bonds mediate the characteristic L-shaped molecular structure. tRNAs have two regions of fundamental functional importance: the anti-codon, which is responsible for specific mRNA codon recognition, and the 3' end, to which the tRNAs corresponding amino acid is attached (by aminoacyl-tRNA synthetases). tRNAs cope with the degeneracy of the genetic code in two manners: having more than one tRNA (with a specific anti-codon) for a particular amino acid; and 'wobble' base-pairing, i.e. permitting non-standard base-pairing at the 3rd anti-codon position. Lineage: Bacteria; Pseudomonadati; Bacteroidota; Cytophagia; Cytophagales; Amoebophilaceae. The record is from Rfam by way of RNAcentral. RNAcentral also lists the same sequence under 18 other names.
GGGCCUAUAGCUCAGUUGGUUAGAGCACCUGACUCAUAAUCAGGUGGUCCCAGGUUCAAGUCCUGGUGGGCCCA